Long non-coding RNA from Hemicordylus capensis (graceful crag lizard), 1708 nucleotides. RefSeq lists it as uncharacterized. The record is from RefSeq and is a predicted model, not a curated record. NCBI's taxonomy places the organism in Eukaryota, Metazoa, Chordata, Lepidosauria, Squamata, Cordylidae. The transcript has 2 exons.
UUAGAAUCGCAAUUUUAUGCUGGUCUGCUGAAUAUCAUUGGGCAUUUGGUGUUGGACUAUCAGCAACUUGGGUGCCCGGUGUCUCUAGCAGCCUAUCGGCCAGGUGAUCUGGAUCCAGCCCAGGCAGACUGGAGGGAGAAGCCACCUUGUUCCCCACCUCUGAUGGGUUGGCUUGAUUGUCCUGCUCACCAUUGUCUGGGAUGGUACCGGGCCUUUCAUCCAAUGUGGUGACCGGGCCUUUCAUCUUCUGCAGCAUCUGGGAUGGUCUGGGGGCCUGGGUCUUGAGAGGCAUCUGUAGUGACUUCCACGUUGUCUGGUUGAGCCUCAGUGGCCAGGAGUAAGUCAGUUCCCUGUUCCAGUUCUGUGGGAGGUGCUUCUCCUAUGAAGGGCUGUUGUGUUGUCUCUGGAUAUUGGGUUACCACUGGGUGGGGGACUCCCCUUCCCUCUCCUGGGCUGCCUCCAUCCCCAUUGUAAUUUCCACAGCAUCCAUGUGGGGGGGCCUCUGCAAUGCAGGGCUGGGUGCUACGAGGUGUAAGCAGCCUGUCUGGGACAAGAAGGGCAGUGACACUGUCAAAGUUUGGGUCUGUAGACAACAUCACUCCUGGAUGUAGAUUCAUCCUUUUAGCAGCCUCUGCAUUUGCUGUGCUAGGCUGUGUGUUGGGCAGGGGGGGCAGGUGAUCACAGUCGCUCUCCACCCCUAAGUCGAUAGUGAAGUCAGCUGGAUUAACCCUUAGGAGUGUUUUGAUUGGAGAUCUUAACUGGAUUUCCAUAGGGUCAGUGAUAUCUAGGUCAGUAUCUGUGUCUGAAGCUGAGCUGAGAUGACCAUCAUCAUCAUGUCUAUCUGGAUACAGUCUUUGGAGGAGGGCAGCCAGUUUAUUUUUAAGCUGCAUCAGGUCGUCUUGCUUGCAUGUUUGGCAGUUUGCCAGUUCAGCAGGGAGAGUUGGCAUCGUCUUAUCAGAAGUAGCAGGCUGAGUAUGUGACCUUGGUGUUGGAAUCAACGAGGCAGUGCCAUAAUUACUGCGUUUGACUGUACCGGAGCCGUUGAAUAAGUCUCUAGUGCCAAAAUCUUUGAAUACACGCUGGGGAGUAAUCUUAUAUGUUCUCAAAAGGUGUUUAAUAUGAAGUAACUGGGUAGGCACUCUGGAUGUUUUAAACUCUAAAAGUAAUCUUUUGUGAUCCUGCUGAGAUGGCAGAAAACAGAAGUGUUCAUUCUCUGAAGAAGAAACUUGGAAGUUUAGAAUUUGGGAAAGCGAGAACCCUUCGUCUGAUGCAGAACGCAGGUUGCAUCGUUUGGAUGUUCGGACGACAUUGUCCUUCUGUGUUCAAAGGUCGGCAGAGUGGAGGAAAACUCCUCUGUUUUGUAUGAUGGGCCUCGCAAAUGCUUGCAAGAUUCUUCUCAGUCCCUGUCUAAUGGAUUGUUUCUACUAAUAAACUUUGCUACAGCUUGGCAAAUAAAUAAUUGCCUGCAACUGUUAAGGCGCACUCAGUUAGGUCCAAGGUGGCCUCUGUUGCCUUUGAUCGUGAAGUCCAUUUGGACACUAUCUGUCAAGCGGCUACUUGGGCCUUGCCCCAUUCCUUUAUUCGUCAUAAUGCUAUUGGUGCCAGGGCGCGGAAGGAUGCUAAGUUUGGCAGGACUGUCCUGCAGUCUAUUUUCAGUUGAUGUACUUUGUUUCUUUGAAAUAAAUACUUCUUGCAGAGUGCAUCCCUA